GCGUUGCGUCCCGGGAAAGGGCGGGCGCCGGCGUAGCGGGAUAGACGCUGAGGGGCGGGCGCGCGCGGAGGGGCUGCUUGAGCGAGGCGGACGCCGGACUACGGAAGAACACCGGGGUCAAGGACACCGGAGACGCUACAGGAAUAUCCCUGGCGGCGUCGCUACUAAAGACGAAGUCUGGAAACCCCCCCAAGUGCCCAAGGCGACGAUACUUCGGUGCAUUGUGGUAGACGUGCAGCAGCACAACUAGCCAACGGCAGUGGGUGGCAUACGGCAGCCAGGAUGAACGGCCAAGAAGUUCGUUCGUUUUUUCCGGUUUCUGUGGUCCCCAAGGUCUAUGCACUUGGCCUGCUCCCCUGGCUGUGGAAGAAGAGGGGGCUCCUGCUGUCUCCCCCCAGCUCCGUCUGCUGGGUGGAGUGAAGGCCACGUGGGACCAUCAAAGCCCUUUCCAUCAUCUUAGAUCCUGACCUUCCCAUGAAACCUGCCCAGGAGGAGGGGGUGACACCAAGAAGAGGGAGAAAAGCUGGAACUGGAGUAAAUGCGAAGACCUGUAGGUGUGGAGACCCUGAGGCCUGGCUGGGAGCCCAAGGAUUCAGGCAGGGUCCCAGCGAGGGCGGCUCAAGACGCCUUCCCUUGGCAUCCUUGUCAUCGCAGCUCAGGAGCUGCCCAGGAGCACACAAGGCAGGUCCAAACCCGGACCUAAUGCAGGACUCAGCCCGCGGGGCACCCACAGGCCCUCAGCGAGGAGCGUGUGCCCCACGGAAGGCUCUGCCAUGCUUGUCAGGACUGGAGAGGCUGCCUGGAAACACUUUUGUGCCUGCCUUUAGAAAUUUGCUUGCACUUUCUAGAAAAUAUACAUCAUAUAUAUAUUUUUUAUAUGUAAAAAUAUAAAUACACACACAUAUUCAGAUGUCUCCCUUGAAACUGUGACGCCCGCACGUUAACAUUCUCAUCUUAAACAGAGAACACUUGGCUUGGGGGUAGAGCUACCCAUGUGCUAAAUCAGCAGCUGUGGAUUGUCUUGCCCCUUAGGUUUCAGAUCUGCCUGGCCCUGUGAUGCACGAGGCUCCCCUGAGCUUUGAUGUCAGAAGAACUUGAGGUGCCCUGUCCCUCCCUCAGGUCCCCGCAGCCUGGAGCCUCAGCUCCUCCAUCUCUGCGUACCUGGCACGAGAUGCAAAGUGCCCGGAGCAGCUCGGCACCAAUGGACAGAAACUCCUUUAAGCAGCUUCCAGCCUUGGAGGACCCGACACAUCCAACUUUUUCAAUUUUACACUCAUUGUGCAAGUAUAUUGAACAUGAAUCGUAUUCAUUUAUCACCCAAGUGAGAAAACAUGGAUCUUUUAAAAUCCUACCAAAUGUAAACUUUUCCUAAGACCUCAUCUAUACAAAGAAGUAACUACUAGUUGGACUGAUCUUUCAAGACCUCUCUUUAUGAUUACUUAUUUCCUGAAAUGUUUUAUUUUUUAUUAAACUAACAUGUAUUGCACAAAAUUCAGAAGAAAAUAUCAAAGUGAAAGAAGAAAUUUUUUUAAUUAUCCAUAACCCUGUCAGGUAGAGUGAUAACAACUAUGAAUAUUUUGGUGUUUUUCAUUCAUUUUGUGUGGAUACACAUAUAUAUAAAUAAAUACGUGCCAAUGUGGAAUGACAUGGUAACAUUUAUUUGAUAAUCUUUUUCUAAACAUUUCAUCAAUAUAUACUACAGAAAAAUGCACAACCUCCUUUUUUUUUUUUUUAUCUUUGCAGUACGCAGGCCUCUCACUGUUGUGGCCUCUCCCGUUGCGGAGCACAGGCUCCGGACGCUCAGGCUCAGCGGCCAUGGCUCACGGGCCCAGCCGCUCCGCGGCAUGUGGGAUCUUCCCAGCCCGGGGCACGAAUCUGUAUCCCCUGCAUCGGCAGGCGGACUCUCAACCACUGCGCCACCAGGGAAGCCCAUCCUUUUAUAUGCAAUACAUGACAACCAUCUUGACCUAGCAUUAAAUCCUCUUCUAUAGCAGAGUGCAGACUUCUUCUGUGAACCUGCUGCCUCUCGGGAUUCCGAAAUUGCCUGAGGCCAAACAACCUUCUGAUAUGAGUUUCAGUUCUUCAGUAAGAUUUUUUUUCUUUUUCUUUUUUUUUUUUUUUUUUGGCCUUGCCACGCGGCUUGCAGGAUGUUGGUUCCCCGACCAGGGAUUGAACCUGCGCCCUCAGCACCUCAGCGGUGAAAGCACGGAGUCCUAACCACUAGACUGCCGGGGAAUUCUCCAGUAGGACUCUUAUUUCAAGGUCCUGCACACUCUCCCAGGUCAUCUAUGGAAACUCAUGGGCCUUAGGACCACCUGUAUCAGGACCCUGGGGCUCUUGAUUAAAAUGCAGAUUCUUGAGUUCCCACCUCAGCCUUGCUGAAUAAGAAUGUCUGGGUUUGGGCUCCAGGAAUCUUCAUUUUAAAUAAGCCCAUCUAGAAAUUCUUAUGAGCAUUAAAGUCUGAGUGACCCUGGCCUUUGGCCACAUUAAUGUGAGCAUUCCUUUUUGGGGUGUUGUUUUCCAGAAUGGUUGAGGAGGUAUAGCCCUCGCAUUCUUUAUGAAAGGGGCUUUGUGUUCCUCAGUGACACCUAGAUUGUAGGGUCUCUGCUUAACAGAAGGUUGUGUGGAGAUGAGAUGCCUUGGUGGUGGGGGAGACGAGCCGGCUGCAUUACCUACUCAACCACUUUCACCCCUCGGAGCCUGGAUUUUCUCACUGCAAAACGGUGGUGAAAAUAAUUAUCUCAUGGGGUUGCUCCAAGGACUGCAUGAGAUAAUGUUUGGGAAAGUCUCUGCAAACCAAAAUCUGCUCUACAAUAUUAUUGUUAUCCACAGCUCAACACUUUUCCCUCUCAGCCAUGGGGGGUCCUGGGUAACCAUUGCUCCUACACGUGUGAUGCCCUUAUACGGUAGCCACUAGCCACAUGUGACUUGAACAUUUAAAAUGUGGAUAGUCUGGGGAAUUCCCUGGCACUCCAGUGGUGAGGACUCUGCGCUUCCACUGCAGGGAGCCUGGGUUUGAUACCUGGUCAGGGAACUAAGAUCCCACAUGCCGUGCAGUGUAGCCAAAAGAAAAAAAAAGUGGCUAGUCUGAAUAUUGUUAGUUUUUUUUUAUAUUUAUUGAAAUAGAGUUGAUUUACAAA
This is a long non-coding RNA of Mesoplodon densirostris (Blainville's beaked whale), 3140 nucleotides long. RefSeq lists it as uncharacterized. The record is from RefSeq and is a predicted model, not a curated record. The transcript is spliced from 4 exons. NCBI's taxonomy places the organism in Eukaryota, Metazoa, Chordata, Mammalia, Artiodactyla, Ziphiidae.